GGUGGAGGAGGAGGAUGACGACAUGGACGAGUUCGGCGACGAUGCGAUCCGCGGCCACGAGUCCACGGCUGUGAAUGCAGUUUUUUUGGGCGAAUCAUUCACGAAUCGCGAAUAAUUAUUUUUUGACGAAAAAAUAUAUUUUUUUUAAUUUUUUAUUUUUAAAAUACUAAUAAAAAUUCGUGAAUUAUUCGCGAAUUAACUAACCUCGACGUGAAACCGGACUAACCAAAAGUCCUCUCGAACCCAUUCGAGUUCAAAUCGCGAUUCCCCUGCCACCCUCACCCCGAAUCUUCUUUUUCCUCUCCAUAUUCUACCUUUCCCCUCUCCCUCUCUCUCUCUCUCUCUCUCUCUCUCUCUCUCUUCCCCAUUUUUCUCCUCCCAAACCCUAACCCUAAGACGCGGCGAUCUCCGCUGCCACGACGAUCUCCGCUGCCACGGCGAUCUUCACGGUGUGAUCUCCCCGGAGACACUUCGAAACCCUAAGGUCUUGGCCGUUGCGCGAUCAUGAUGGUUGCCGCUGCCGCUGCCACUCUAACACCCUAGUACUUAGGUAUCGUGUGAUCAUCAGGUAAACACUCCCCCAAACCCCCUCUCUUUUCCUUUUUUUUUUAAAUUUUUGUUAUUACUAGGUAUUUUUAAAGAACUGCUUUGCUUCGAUUGGUGAUUUUGGUUUUAUUUUCGUUUCAUUUUGUAUCGUAUUUGUUAUCUGUUUAAUCUUGGUUGCUAUGAAGUCCUUGUUUCCAGGAGUGGCUACGCCAUGUUGAGGGUUCUUAAGUCCUAGGUAUAUAACAUUUUAUAGUGCAAUUUGUUACUUNUCGGUCAUUCAAGUUGUCAAUUUUGAGAACCUUUUGAUUGUAAGUUAUAUGAUGUCCAAAAAUUAUGAAAUUUGAUUUUAGAAUAUUUAAAUAUUGUAAAUUAUGUUUAAUAGUAUGGAUCGCCGAUUCGAAAGCUCUAUCAUCAAAAACGACUUACGAAUACGAAGGUGAUCGUAUUCAUAAUAAUAUAGUAGCAGGACUAUAUAUAUGUAGAGUCCGGCUACUAUACUCUUACGAGUACAGAUCUUUUUGCACUCAUAAGUUUUUGGCCGUUAGAUCCACCCUUUUGACCAUUUCUACUCGUUAGAUCAUAAUAUUCAACCAACCACCAACUCAACCCUAACCGUGGACUACUAUCAUCCUUACCGCACAUCUCUUCAUCCAACGGCCAAAAACUUAUGAGUACAAAGGGACCUAUACUCACAAAAGUAUAGUAGCCCUAACAUGUAUGUAUAUAAAGUCCGACUCUAUACUAUUAAUAGCACCCAAGCACUUGGUGCUACCCCUUUGACCAUUUUCACCCAUUAGAUCAUACUAUUCAACCAACCACCCAACCACUAUUAUCCUAACAGCACAUUUAUUAAUCCAAGGACCGAAAACCUAAUAUCACCAAUGAAUUAGUGCUAUUAAUAGUAUAGUAGCCUAGUGCUAUAUAUAUAGGGAUAUUAGGGCUGGAUACUCUCAAAAGCACAUGAAUAGUACAUGCUCUCGACUUUCUAACCCUUGGAUUUGUAGGAUUUAUUAUUUGGUGGUUGAACUAGCAUGAAGCCAAGAGCCUGAUAGUCUAUAGCAUGCACUAUUCAUGUGCUAUUAGAAGCACCCAAGAUGGACUCUCUCUCUCUCUCUCUCUCUCUCUCUCUCUCUAUAUAUAUAUAUAUAGCAAAUGCAUAUGCAAGUCAGAUUCAUAAUUCAUGGUGAUAUCUAU
This 1740-nucleotide long non-coding RNA is filed under the name Ananas comosus (pineapple). RNAcentral's name for it is "long non-coding RNA (ACOM_LNC022675)". Lineage: Eukaryota; Viridiplantae; Streptophyta; Magnoliopsida; Poales; Bromeliaceae. The record is from RNAcentral.